This 465-nucleotide ribosomal RNA is filed under the name uncultured bacterium. Its description in RNAcentral is "partial 16S ribosomal RNA". It matches the Rfam family "Bacterial small subunit ribosomal RNA", at positions 338 to 795 of the family's 1533-position model. The record is from RNAcentral.
CCUACGGGUGGCAGCAGUAGGGAAUCUUCCACAAUGGGCGAAAGCCUGAUGGAGCAACGCCGCGUGGGUGAAGAAGGUCUUCGGAUCGUAAAACCCUUUUUUUAGAGAAGAAAGUGCUUGAGAGUAACUGUUCACGUUUCGACGGUAUCUAACCAGAAAGCCACGGCUAACUACGUGCCAGCAGCCGCGGUAAUACGUAGGUGGCAAGCGUUAUCCGGAUUUGUUGGGCGUAAAGGGAACGCAGGCGGUCUUUUAAGUCUGAUGUGAAAGUCUUCGGCUUAACCGGAGUAGUGCAUUGGAAACUGGGAGACUUGAGUGCAGAAGAGGAGAGUGGAAUUCGAUGUGUAGCGGUGAAAUGCGUAGAUAUAUGGAAGAACACCAGUUGCGAAAGCGGCUCUCUGGUCUGUAACUGACGCUGAGGUUCGAAAGCGUGGGUAGCAAACAGGAUUAGAUACCCGUGUAGUC